Molecule: transfer RNA, 83 nt
Filed under: bacterium
Lineage: Bacteria
Description: tRNA-Leu
Rfam family: tRNA
About the family: Transfer RNA (tRNA) molecules are approximately 80 nucleotides in length. Their secondary structure includes four short double-helical elements and three loops (D, anti-codon, and T loops).
Source: RNAcentral
GGGCGAGUGGUGGAACGGUAGACACGCAUGGUUCAGGGCCAUGUGGGAGCAAUCCCGUGAGGGUUCAAGUCCCUCCUCGCCCA